AACGCACAUUGCGCCCCUCGGUAUUCCGUGGGGCAUGCCUGUCCGAGCGUCGUGUCACCGCUCAAGCCCCCGCCCUUGUGCGGGGCUUGGUGUUGGGGCUCGCCGUCGCCCCCCGAGGCGGCCGGCGUCCCUGGAAGACAUUGGCGGCGCCUGCGCGGCUCGCGGUCCAGCGUUGAUGGGCCCGCAGAGAGCCGAGCGUGGCGCGCCCGCCCGACCACAUUUCUCCACACAAGGUCGACCUCGGAUCAGGUAGGGAUACCCGCUGAACUUAA
Molecule: unclassified non-coding RNA, 272 nt
Filed under: uncultured fungus
Lineage: Eukaryota; Fungi
Description: partial contains 5.8S ribosomal RNA, internal transcribed spacer 2, and large subunit ribosomal RNA
Source: RNAcentral